RNAcentral lists this transfer-messenger RNA (267 nucleotides) under Escherichia coli. RNAcentral describes it as "partial transfer-messenger RNA". It matches the Rfam family "transfer-messenger RNA", at positions 1 to 273 of the family's 374-position model. From Rfam's summary of the family: Bacterial tmRNA, also known as 10Sa RNA or SsrA, is named for its dual tRNA and mRNA-like properties. Its role is to liberate the mRNA from a stalled ribosome. The record is from RNAcentral. Lineage: Bacteria; Pseudomonadati; Pseudomonadota; Gammaproteobacteria; Enterobacterales; Enterobacteriaceae.
GGGGCUGAUUCUGGAUUCGACGGGAUUUGCGAAACCCAAGGUGCAUGCCGAGGGGCGGUUGGCCUCGUAAAAAGCCGCAAAAAAUAGUCGCAAACGACGAAAACUACGCUUUAGCAGCUUAAUAACCUGCUUAGAGCCCUCUCUCCCUAGCCUCCGCUCUUAGGACGGGGAUCAAGAGAGGUCAAACCCAAAAGAGAUCGCGUGGAAGCCCUGCCUGGGGUUGAAGCGUUAAAACUUAAUCAGGCUAGUUUGUUAGUGGCGUGUCCG